Molecule: ribosomal RNA, 658 nt
Filed under: Metschnikowia lochheadii
Lineage: Eukaryota; Fungi; Ascomycota; Pichiomycetes; Serinales; Metschnikowiaceae
Description: LSU rRNA
Rfam family: Eukaryotic large subunit ribosomal RNA
Source: RNAcentral
UACCCGCUGAACUUAAGCAUAUCAAUAAGCGGAGGAAAAGAAACCAACAGGGAUUACCUCAGUAACGGCGAGUGAAGCGGUAAAAGCUCAAAUUUGAAAUCUUCGGAAUUGUAAUUUGAUGGAUAAAAUUGCCACGGACAAAAGUUCACUGGAAAGUGACGCCGUAGAGGGUGAUAGCCCCGUUUACGUCCACCGGCACUAUAAUUUUAUUCCAAAGAGUCGGGUUGUUUGGGAAUGCAGCUCAAAGUGGGUGGUAAAUUCCAUCUAAAGCUAAAUAUUGACGAGAGACCGAUAGCGAACAAGUACAGUGAUGGAAAGAUGAAAAGAACUUUGAAAAGAGAGUGAAACAGUACGUGAAAUUGUUGAAAGGGAAGGGGAGGGAAGAUGUUAAAGGGACUCCUUCUUUUGUAGGGAUCCCCGCCAAAAAGUCUUUCCUCUCGCCCGUCUUGAAACACGGACCAAGGAGUCUAACGAUUAUGCAAGUAUUUGAGUCAACCCCCAAAUGCGUAAUGAAAGUAAUUGGUCAACCCUACCCUCCUGUCCUAAAGGGCGGGAGAGGAAGCAUAAUUAUUAGGACCCGAAAGAUGGUGAACUAUACCUGGAUAGGGUGAAGCCAGAGGAAACUCUGGUGGAAGCUCGUAGCGGUUCUGACGUGCAA